GUGAGACUGGUGACUUGGGGCAACGGCAGGACAUUCCAUUGGGGUUUAAAUAAGCAGGCUCGGAAUGUUCCAGAGCUGGGAGAGUGGUGAGAACUGGAGGUCCUGAACCAAGAGUUACCUCGGGGAAUUUCCCAUCUCUGUGAAGUGCUGUGACAGGUUGACUCCGUCUCUCCGGGGGAGCGUCCUCCUCAGGGACGGCACAGUGAGCCACCCUGACCCUCUCCGUCACCUCUUUGUGCAGGGUCAGGUGUAGGGUCAGUGGAGGAUGAGGGCCUGGCCGUCACCACCUCUCUGCCCACGCCCGUUUUUGCAGGGGGGAUCUGCCUGGUGGGUGUUCUGUUUCUCCUCCCUCUUGAAUUCCAGGAAGUCUGUUUAUGUCAAUCAGCACAUGCCUGAGCAUUGGCCAGCCCCGAGGAAGCCAGGAAUGCCCCCAGGUAUUUCCUUCAUGAGAGCUUGGGUCCAGCAUUCCUCUUGGCUUUCCAGUCUCCAUAGUGGGAAAGCUCCCCAACGUGAAACCCAAGUCCUUCUCUUCGCUCUGUGAGAUGUCAAGAAACCAGAGGCUGGUGUCCAUCCUGUUGAUGUGGCAGGAGGCCUUCACAAAUGCUGGACAGAUGGCUGGUGUCCAUGUAUAUGGAGGAGCAACUCUUAGACUGUUUGUAGAAGCUCCCUGACUUCACGAGGACUGACCGGAUCCUCGUCUGUGAUUCCAACUAAUUCAACUCCUGAUUGUCCACAUGUGUUUGUCCAUCGGGGCCAUAUGGGCAUCUGCUCGCCACCUGGCCAUCUGUGUGAUGAGUACCCAAUUAUGACCGCAGCAGCUGCCUGUCCCCACGGUGACCCAGCUGCAACUGGCCGUUAACAGGCAAUGGGCCUCUCUCAAUUCUGCUAUGAUUACGAGAGGCUGAGAGCUGGGGAAAUGUUUCCACGAAGGAUUUGGGGUAACAUUUCACAAUAUUGGAUCAUUUGCAAUGUCCUUGAUGAAGUAGGCUCCCAGGUCUCUGUGAAAUGCUGGAAAAAUUACUCGGGUCCUGGGGCCAAAACAGCAUUUUCUGUCUGAGAGAGGAAGCUGUUGGCUCCAUUUCCCUGGAACCUCAAAAUGGAGCCUCUUCCUCAUGUUCUAAAGUCUGGCCCUCAAAGGGGACAGGAGAGAAUAAGAAUCCACUCCUGUAUUUCCUACUAUUUAGUGCUCAGAAAUAUUUAUUUCAGGUGAGAAUGAGUGAAGUCCUAGUGUGAACUUCGGGACCAAGGGCACAUUUCCUCAUGGCCUGUAUUUCCAAUCUCUCCUGUUCUUUCUAAUUCCCUCUGCCAUCUGCAAAGUGCCACUAAAAGGUAAACUGAAGCAUGCUAAGAUUUUCAAGGGUUUAUUUGAGCAAACAUGGAUUUGAAUCUGGUGUUGUCAAAGUGGUUGGGAGCCCCCUCCCGCCCCCUCCCCCCCACCCCCGACAGGAACCGGGGGCAGGUUUCUACAGAGAAGACACGGAAGCAAAGCCAGGACAGGAUUUGGUUGGCCGCAGCUUAAGCAGCUGCUGUAUCUGGGAAAGCCUAGUUGGCUGUUGUGGUUGGGACCAUAUAUGGUCGUAGACUUACAUAAGAAAAGAUUCGUUAUAGGAAUAGGCUCACUCUGUUAUGGGGGCUGGGGGUCCCACGAUCUGCCAACUGCAAGCUGGAGGCCCAGGGAAGCUGGCGAUGUCAUUUAGCCUGAGUCUGGAGGUCUGAGAACCAGGGGGGCCAAUGGUGUGAGUUCUAGUCCAGGUCCAAAGGCCAGAGAACCAGGAGUGCUGACGUCCGAGGGCAGGAGAAGAUGCGUGUCCCGGCUUCAGCACAAAGAGCUCAUUUGCCCUUCCUGUGCCUUGUGUUCUCUGCAGGCCCUCAGCGGACAGGAUGAUGCCCACCUGAAUUGGAGGGAGCCGUAUUCUUUGCUCAGUCUAUUGAAUCAAAUGCUAACCUCUUCCAGAAACACCCACACAGACACAGACAUAAUAUUUUACCAGCUAUCUGGGCAUCCCUGAGUCCCGUCAAGUCGGCACAUAAAAUGAACCAUCACAGAUGCGAACCUCCUUAGCAGUGUAUUUCAAAUGGGGGCGGGGAGUCCAUCAAUCAAAAUGCAGAUUCCCAGGCCUCACUUGGAUGCCACGGAUCAGAACUGUGGGAGACGUGGCGCUCUAAUACGUGGUUCUCACCAGCAUCUCAGGGGAUUGUCAUGCAGCUGAAGUUUGAGAUGCCCGUGCCUUAGAAAUGAUGCCGGUCUAAUGGUGCCCUCUCCCGGCAGUGGGGAAGCUGAAGUUGGGAGAGAUGUUGAGCGUGGCUUGGUCACAGGCAGGCACAGCACUGCUGAGCCAUGUCUGGGAGGGCACUGAGAACUCUCUGAGGAGGCUUCUCAAACCCGCUGUGCAUUGGUAGAACCCAUGCAGCUUUGAAAAGCUGCUCGUGCCUGGGCUCCGCCCCAGAGGUUCGGGAUUUGUUGAUCUGGGAUGGGUCCAGGCAUGGUGCGCUGUGAAAGUCUUCCCGUGCUAUUAAUGGUGUGCGGUGUUGAGAACAGCAGGUCUCAGCGUCAGGUUUUGGAGGCAGAGAUGGAGGCAGGUGGUGUGCUUGGUAUUAUGGUGCUCGCAGCAUCACAAGAUUCACUGUCCUUCGGGGUGCCGGGAGGACUGUACUUCCCCAUCCCUGUGAAAUUAGGCUUGGCCAUGGGACCAGUUCUGGCCAAUGGAUUGGCAGAAGUGAUGCCACUUCUGGGGGGGGGGGGCGGAAUAUAGGUGCUGAUGUGAGUGGCCCCUGCUGUCCUGUGACCACACUGGACCUGUGGUGUGAGUGAGAAAGACGUCUCGUUUGCAGUUGCUGAGGUCCUGUUUGUCUCUGGGUUAUACCCUGACCUCGCCUGACAGACACACCUGGUUUCAUAAAAAGUUAGUAAAGCUAACGAUAGUUCUGCAUCCUAAAUGCCUUCUCCAUUGCCUUAAUAGAAUAAAUAAACUCUUUUCUUUUUUCCUCCUGUUUUGUUGUUGAAAUCCCGUUGAAAGAUGGAGCCAGGCUUUUGAUGCUAAAAUGUUUCCCAUUGCUUAGUCAAGGCUGUGUAUUCAGUUCAUGGAACUUGCUUAUUCAGUUUGUCCUGAGGAGACGAGUGUUAUGUCAGGCAAAAAAUCCUAAAUGAUUAGAGCAAAUGGUGGUCUUUUCUCACUGAGAAAAAUGUCUGCAGAAAAUUGAUUGAUCUUGACUGAUAUGUGUGCCGGAGCUCUGUUCUUUUGACUUUUACAAGGGAAAUCUCAAGUUAGGGAAAAGGAAGAAAACAUACCACUUGCUUUAAAAUGCAUUUUUUUCAGGAGAAAAUUUAGCAGCUGUGAUGGUUAUGCUGCUUUUGGUAAGAAUGUUUUCCAAUGUAUAAUACAUUAGACUUACCACAAGCCUCCUGCCAGGGUGAAGCUUGCACUAAGCAAGUGGCGACUCUUCCUGGAUUGAAUUCUUGGCUGGAGGGAUGGUUAGGCUUGGGGAAGACAUGGAGAAUGAUAGGUGAAUAGAAAAGAGUUUAUUGAGUUCAGGUGUCCUGACAUUUGCAUUUUGUGAAAUUUCUGUUCAUGCUUCAGGGAGAAAUAAUUUAAAAAUACUAGUAAGAGUAGGCAGCCUUUACAAAAAUUCAAUACAUGUUUUAAAAUUAUUUUUCUGGCUCUGAACUGCUAUUUAGGGCUGAAUUAUUAUAUGGCUCUUUUUCAAAAUUCACUUGACAAUGGGCAAUUUGAUUUUUCUGAAAUAUUUUAUCUACAGAUAGGAAGCUUGUAGAUACUGAAAACCUCUGAGAAUCUGGGAAGAGAGAAUGAGACUGACUUGCUCCUGGCUUUAGCCCCAGUUAGAGAAGCGUCUGGGUUGUGCUAUUAUGUGUUCCAGAGGUGCUUCCAUGUCUGGGGCAGCAUGAUCCUGAAUGAGAAGGGACCCGAAAGGGCCUGGAGCACCUGCCCUUUAUGUUUGCAUGUUAUCUGCCCAGCCCAGCAGGUGCCUUCCUCCUCGGGGAGCUCACAAAGCAGACAGAGCUGUUUCUGAUAAGAUCCCUGGGAAGAUGUUCACAAGGGCACGAAGUUGCGCCUAUGAAGGGGGCUGGUUUUUCCAAUCAGCACUGUAGUAAGAACGGGCUGGCACAUUCACCCUGGGCCCGACCUCCCUGGGAGCAGGCUUGGGUGGUAGAGACUAGACGGGCCACAGCCACCUGGAAACUUCUGUCCGAUUGCUUCUCUCUCUUCCUCCUAGGACCAUUCUCUCUGGGAGAAGGUAAGCAGUGUGCAAGAGGGAAGAACAGCUAGUCAGACACUUGUCCUGGAAAAAGAAUGGAACCAGGCUGAGGAUGUAGAUUCUCUCACUGGCUGGCCUUUGGGGUGGGGACCACCGUGGCCUCUGGAUCAAUUUGGAAUCUCUGGGCUCCGGGAGACUCAGGUGAAAUCCUGCUUCCCUCCCUUGGGCUGUGUUCCCCCUGACUGCUUUGAGCUACUAGUAUCUUGGUGAAAGCCGUGGGCAUACUAAUCAAUGGGGGUUUUAAUGCUGUGGGGUUAAAAAUAAGCGGAUGCAGCUGGUAUGUUGUUUUAGGCUCAUGGCCAGGCAGGGUCCCAAGUCCUCUUCAUGGGGAGGGGGUCCAAAGGUGAGGGAGCAGACCCACUCCAAUGGGGGAAGGAGCCAGAGCUCCCCUCCAUGAGGCCUCCCCCAGUCUCUCCUUCCUCCUCCUCUGUGGGAAAAUGGAGGGAAGGAUCCGAGCGGGGAGAGGUGGGACAGUGGGAGGAGGAUGAUGUGGGAGGGGGAGAGGAGGUGGUGUACGGAGGGGUAGGACUCUCCAGACCACAGCUUGUUUGAUGGAUUUUGGCGAAGCCUGGGCGCUCGGCUCUGCCGGUGCCUUUUGGGCAGCACCAGCGCUGAGGAAUCACCUUAUUUACAGUCCUGAGGCAUCUGCCUUCUCUUCCUGGGUAAGUAGACUUCUAAGAUGUCAGGGCAAACCCACAGUCCCUCUCGCCGUGAACCAAGCUCCACCUCCUUGCUUGGCCUCUGGAGAAACGUGAGGAGCUCUGUUCACCGUGCAAAGUGCUGCCAUUGCGUUGGUGCUCAGGGUCCUUGUCACACAGCGGCUUCUCUGUGUGCUCCUUGAACAGAAGCCAACCUGCUGGCCUGUAAAACAGUGGAAAGGCAUUGCUCUCCAACCACACUGGGAAAAAUGCCCUUUAAAGAAAACCAUCUUCUAAGGGCCUCACAAAAUGACACAUUGUAAUAGGAAUAACGUGUGGAAAAUGGCCUGUUUUCUCUUCUGGUUGCUGUUCUCUUCAACAGCUGUUUAAUUGUAUUGGUCAUGUUGUUCACUAGCUUUGGAAGAUGAAAAGCCUGCAAGUGUUUGCUGAAAUCAAGGCUCCAAUGUCAAUUAUUUCCAUUUUCAGUUUCAAUGCAGCAUUUAUUCUUAUGUGUGAACGGCAGCACCGCUUUCUGCUCUUGGCUGGGGGAGGCACACGGCAGGUGGGGAGAUCACUCUGACCCACGGUGGACUCAGCUGCAUCAGAACCAUCAGCAACUCAAAUAGCAGAGCUCCCUUGAACCCCACGCUUCACACAUGUAUCUGGAAUGACGAUGGGGGUUUUGUACAAAAGCAACCCUCAGGAGCAGGAUGUAAUUUCCUCAAAGUAGUCAUUCGAGCCAUCAUAGCUCAGGAAUAUGAGAACAGGAAGGUUUUGUGGACAUAGACAAGACAAUGAAGGAAAUGAAACACUAUGGGGCCGACGUUCCCAGGUCCUGGUGGGGUUCCGGAUCCUUCUGGAAGGAGGGCUCCUUUGCAUGUUGUGAGCAGUGGGCUUUGCUGGUGGGGGAGGCCAGGACUUGGCUGCUCUCCUUUCCAGUGCCCGACCACCAACAGGCUCCACCCAGGAGGCAGUCAUAUCGCCACACCAUUGUCACAGGGGCUGGGGUACCGAAAGUGGUCAAGGUAACCGGCUGCUGGUGUUUUAUGUAUGUGGAAAGUUUAUAGAACUCAUUUCCCAAUUGUUUAUUUUGGUAAAAAUGUUGACUUGGGGGCUGGCCCCGUGGCCGAGUGGUUAAGUUCGCGCACUCCGCUGCAGGCGGCCCAGUGUUUCGUCAGUUCGAAUCCUGGGCGCGGACAUGGCACUGCUCAUCAGACCACGCUGAGGCAGUGUCCCACAUGCCACAACUAGAAGAACCCACAACGAAGAAUACACAACUAUGUACCGGGGGGCUUUGGGGAGAAAAAGGAAAAAAUAAAAUCUUUAAAAAAAAA
Molecule: long non-coding RNA, 6247 nt
Organism: Equus caballus (horse)
Lineage: Eukaryota; Metazoa; Chordata; Mammalia; Perissodactyla; Equidae
Source: Ensembl